GUGGAUGUGGCUCAUGGUAGAGUGCUUGCCUAGCAUGCUCAAGGCCCUGGGUUCAAUCCCCAGCACCACA
RNAcentral lists this transfer RNA (70 nucleotides) under Ictidomys tridecemlineatus (thirteen-lined ground squirrel). RNAcentral's name for it is "Spermophilus tridecemlineatus (thirteen-lined ground squirrel) tRNA". It matches the Rfam family "tRNA". Rfam says of the family: Transfer RNA (tRNA) molecules are approximately 80 nucleotides in length. Their secondary structure includes four short double-helical elements and three loops (D, anti-codon, and T loops). The record is from Rfam by way of RNAcentral. Lineage: Eukaryota; Metazoa; Chordata; Mammalia; Rodentia; Sciuridae.